Molecule: long non-coding RNA, 299 nt
Filed under: Elaeis guineensis (African oil palm)
Lineage: Eukaryota; Viridiplantae; Streptophyta; Magnoliopsida; Arecales; Arecaceae
Description: long non-coding RNA (EGUI_LNC066460)
Source: RNAcentral
UUCGUCCACUGUCCGACCCUGAGACUGGGCCUGCCCCCUUGGGGCUCUCUGAGGGAUUCUGUCCGCCGGGCUCCCAGCCCGGGGGAGGACGACCUCCAGGCUGCCCGGAAGCUUCUAGCUUAUUCCGCUCCUUCCCUUCCCAAUCUUCUGAGGGAGCAGUUUCUUUUCAACAUCGGCCUGAGUCCCCAGGAUCCAGCGAGUAUUCAUCUUUUACCUUAUCUUCUCUUUUCAUGCCUUUCUUCUCUUCUUCUCUUUUUCUCCUUUGUUUCUUUCUUUCUUUCCCUUUCUUCUUUUCUUCU